This 720-nucleotide long non-coding RNA is filed under the name Fukomys damarensis (Damara mole-rat). RNAcentral describes it as "lncRNA (ENSFDAG00000022478.1)". Lineage: Eukaryota; Metazoa; Chordata; Mammalia; Rodentia; Bathyergidae. The record is from RNAcentral.
UUAUCAUCAGAGAAAAGGAGCCAAGGAAUAAGAGGUGGCCACCCAGCCACUGUCCCAUCACAAAAGCACACAUUCACACUUUACAAGGACAUUGUGACCAACACAGGAGCAAGCCUUCACCCAACAGAGGCCUUGGUCAGCCUGGAGGAGAAAUCUAGUAAUCACUGUUGUGGAAUGGGGAGCCCGUAAGACUAUUUUCUUCCAGAAACGAGCAGAACUUCCUUCUGCAUGAGAAUGGACUACUCUGGACUUCUAAAGGGAAACAUUCACAAAGCCUUGCAUUGACCAAGCAUCUCUAUGGAAAUUCUGAGCAGAUGCACUUCUCUCUUCCUAUCAGUGAAAAAGGAAUAGAUACCGUGAUAUGCAUGGGGUGCUCUUCACUUGGGAGGACGAAUGCAUCCUGGAUGCAGAUCUGUCUGCCCAAGCCUCCAGAUCACAGCAUGGGCGGCUCAAGCCGUGCACACCUGCGGCUUGUUGACAGCGGAGAACCGAGGAAUCGGAGGCAAUUGAACACCCCAGGAAAUCGCACAACUGACCUGCACAGAGGUAUUUAGCACAGGUGUUUCUGUAAUUGUGAUGCAUGAGAAUACUUUCUAGUGUUCAGUGGCCCGCAGCAUUCACACCUCCACCUGCCUAGCGGGGAUGGAGCGGAGGAUUGGGCCCAUGAAUGGGGCAAGACAAGAUGGGAGUCUGUCAGCAGUGCUCAAGUGGCCCCAGGAC